RNAcentral lists this ribosomal RNA (1003 nucleotides) under human gut metagenome. RNAcentral describes it as "bacterial LSU rRNA". It matches the Rfam family "Bacterial large subunit ribosomal RNA", at positions 1923 to 2925 of the family's 2925-position model. The record is from RNAcentral.
GUAAACGGCGGCCGUAACUAUAACGGUCCUAAGGUAGCGAAAUUCCUUGUCGGGUAAGUUCCGACCUGCACGAAUGGCGUAACGAUCUCCACACUGUCUCGGCCAGAGACUCGGUGAAAUUGAAGUCGCGGUGAAAAUGCCGUGUACCCGCAGAAAGACGGAAAGACCCUGUGCACCUUUACUAUAGCUUGACAUUGGGAUUUGAGCCUGCAUGUGUAGCAUAGGUGGGAGGCUGUGAACUCUGUACGCCAGUAUGGAGGGAGCCAUCGUUGAAAUACCACCCUUGUUUGUUCAGGUCCCUAACUCUUCGCCGUGAUCCGGUAAGAGGACAGUGUCUGGUGGGUAGUUUGACUGGGGCGGUCGCCUCCCAAAAUGUAACGGAGGCAUGCAAAGGUUCCCUCAGGCUGAUUGGAAACCAGCCGUCGAGUGCAAACGCAAAAGGGAGCUUGACUGCAAGAGAGACAUCUCGAGCAGGUACGAAAGUAGGUGUUAGUGAUCCGGUGAUCCCGAAUGGAAGGGUCAUCGCUCAUUGGAUAAAAGGUACGCCGGGGAUAACAGGCUGAUCGCAUCCAAGAGUUCACAUCGACGAUGCGGUUUGGCACCUCGAUGUCGGCUCAUCACAUCCUGGGGCUGAAGCAGGUCCCAAGGGUACGGCUGUUCGCCGUUUAAAGUGGUACGCGAGCUGGGUUUAAAACGUCGUGAGACAGUUUGGUCCCUAUCUUCUGUGGGCGUAGGAGAAUUGAAAGGGCCUGUCCCUAGUACGAGAGGACCGGGAUGGACACACCACUGGUGGACCUGUUGUCGUGCCAACGGCACAGCAGGGUAGCUAUGUGUGGAAGGGAUAACCGCUGAAAGCAUCUAAGCGGGAAGCCUGCCUUAAGAUAAGUUCUCCCUGACGCAAGUCCUGAAGGGCCGAGGUAGACGACCUCGUUGAUAGGCUGGAGGUGGAAGCCCUGUGAGGGGUGGAGCUGACCAGUACUAAUAGCCCGUGCGUCUUGUUUCU